RNAcentral lists this transfer RNA (74 nucleotides) under Heterocephalus glaber (naked mole-rat). It matches the Rfam family "tRNA". Rfam says of the family: Transfer RNA (tRNA) molecules are approximately 80 nucleotides in length. Their secondary structure includes four short double-helical elements and three loops (D, anti-codon, and T loops). Further hydrogen bonds mediate the characteristic L-shaped molecular structure. tRNAs have two regions of fundamental functional importance: the anti-codon, which is responsible for specific mRNA codon recognition, and the 3' end, to which the tRNAs corresponding amino acid is attached (by aminoacyl-tRNA synthetases). tRNAs cope with the degeneracy of the genetic code in two manners: having more than one tRNA (with a specific anti-codon) for a particular amino acid; and 'wobble' base-pairing, i.e. permitting non-standard base-pairing at the 3rd anti-codon position. Lineage: Eukaryota; Metazoa; Chordata; Mammalia; Rodentia; Bathyergidae. The record is from Rfam by way of RNAcentral.
UGAGGUGUAGCUCAGAGGUAGAGACCACUUGCCUAGCAUACAUGAGGUCCUGAGUUUGAUCCCCAGCACCCCAU